CCUCCUCCCCCGAUCCCUAGUAAGCUGAUAAUCUUGAUUAGGUGGCUGAUCAUUAAAAUGUUCAACUUCAACUGGUUCAAUGUUAUCUUGAAGUUCAGUCACCUCUUCAGGUUCAGGUUCAGGUUCAAUUUCAAUUUCAUUUUCAUUUUCAUGAUGUAUAGGGUCAUUUUCGUCAUUCCCAGGUGUAGGUGAAUUUAGCCUAGUCAGCUUCACCUCAGUCUGAAUACUCUUCUCAGUUUCAGAUUUGUUAGUUUCUUCG
Molecule: long non-coding RNA, 259 nt
Filed under: Olea europaea (common olive)
Lineage: Eukaryota; Viridiplantae; Streptophyta; Magnoliopsida; Lamiales; Oleaceae
Description: long non-coding RNA (OEUR_LNC002326)
Source: RNAcentral